RNAcentral lists this ribosomal RNA (497 nucleotides) under uncultured bacterium. RNAcentral describes it as "partial 16S ribosomal RNA". It matches the Rfam family "Bacterial small subunit ribosomal RNA", at positions 28 to 507 of the family's 1533-position model. The record is from RNAcentral.
GAUGAACGCUGGCGGCGUGCCUAAUACAUGCAACUCGAGCGAACAGAUAAGGAGCUUGCUCCUUUGACGUUAGCGGCGGACGGGUGAGUAACACGUGGGUAACCUACCUAUAAGACUGGAAUAACUCCGGGAAACCGGGGCUAAUGCCGGAUAACAUUUAGAACCGCAUGGUUCUAAAGUGAAAGAUGGUUUUGCUAACACUUAUAGAUGGACCCGCGCCGUUUUAGCUAGUUGGUAAGGUAACGGCUUACCAAGGGAACGAUACCUAGCCGACCUGAGAGGGUGAUAGGCCACACGGGAACUGAGACACGCUCCAGACUCCUACGGGAGGCAGCAGUAGGGAACUGUCCGCAAUGGUCGAAAGCCUGACGGAGCACCGCGGCGUGAGUGAUGAAGGUCUUCGGAUCGUAAAACUCUGUUAUUAGGGAAGAACAAAUGUGUAAGUAACUGUGCACGUGUUGACGGUACCUAAUCAGAAAGCCACGGCUAACUACGUG